This 75-nucleotide small RNA is filed under the name Xanthomonas dyei pv. eucalypti. RNAcentral's name for it is "sX9 sRNA". It matches the Rfam family "Xanthomonas sRNA sX9". The record is from RNAcentral. Lineage: Bacteria; Pseudomonadati; Pseudomonadota; Gammaproteobacteria; Lysobacterales; Lysobacteraceae. RNAcentral also lists the same sequence under 1 other name.
UCGCCCACGCGUACGCUGCGGUUCUUCAGCGCCGUCCGCACCCACCUGGCGACUACUCGCUCGGUUGUGUGAGCC